CAACUUGAGAGCCAUGGACGUAUUUGAAGUUUUGCAGAGACCAUCAAUGAUGGUGUUAUACAUAACUACAUUGGGCUGAAUUUCUUGAAAUCUGAUAAGCUUCUUAAACAAAUCCCCAGCCUCCAAAGGCCUGUCUUGAGAUAGAAGGCCCUGGAUGAGAGUGUUGUAGGUAAAGACAGCAGGUACCCAACCACUCUUGAUGAUUCCAGCAAGCAAUGAAAAGGCAUAAUCAAGUGUAUUCAAGUGACAACAGGAAUGGAUGGCAGUAUUAAAAGUAACAAUGUCAACAGGAAUCCUUAAAACACGCAAUUCUCUAAACAUAGAGACGGCAACGGAGUACUCUUCCAUUCGAACCAGGGCGGUUAACAGUUGUGUGAAAUCAACAACAGAAAGCCUAGAUUUCAGACGGAGCAUUUUAUCGAACACAAGAAGAGCAUCUUCGAGUUUAUCAAAACCAACUUUAGAUUUAUGAUAGAGUAAUUGUUUUAGUUUGGGAUGAGUCCAGAUUGCCAAACAUUGUGUUCCAGAUGAGCAUGGAAUCUGGUGAAAACCCCUUAAGUUGUUGCUCUUGUCAAUCUUGGGAGCCAAUAUCUUUGUCAAGAUCCAUCAUCGUUAUGCCGAUGUAAUCUCAAUUGUCUGUAAAAAUUAACCAGUACAGCGACGAUAAACCUGUCAAGUUUGAUGAAAUUCUGAAGUUCGACGCUGAAUUAGUUGGCCCGUAAGAGAUAAUACUCGAAGAAACAAACGGUAAGAUAUGUGCACAAGUCAUUUGAAAUGCUUAUUCCUACAUUCAAGGGGCCACUUGAUGAGACCUGUGAGUACAUAGAGUUAGGUCUAUGACCUAUAGCUUUUAAAGAUGACUGUCAUAGGAGUAAAGACAAUGAAUUCAUACUUUUCUGAUCAUUUUUCUGCAUUUCUAAUCAGCAGUCCUCAUUCAAACAGGAAGCACAAUUAAAUGAGGGCCUAGGGGAUGCAAUUUAGUUAUCCAGCACUUGAUGUAGAGACCUUCAGAUCUAUUUGACCGAUCUUCUCAAAUCAAGAAUGGCUCGAGCUGUCAGCGUGAUCAUUUUUCUGCACAAUAUCAAACAGGAAGCAUAAACAUAUAAGGGACUACAGAUCAGAAAGAAAAUAUUGCGCAACCAUUAAAAAUUUCACCUAACAAACCGAAACUUAAUUUUCCACAUUAAAUUAUUGAACCAUAGAAAUACAAUUUUAUUCCAAAAUUCAGCGAUCUUUCCAAGCCGAAUAGCCUAAUAUCACUGUUUUGUCUCUGCCAAAGCCACAUGGAUGAAACAAGGAGAACAUGAGAAAAGCAUAAACCACAAAAACUAUAUUCUUGCGAACACUCUAUAAUACAAAUCUCUGGAGAAUAGACGCAGAAUCUCGCUUCCUAGUGUUCUAUAACAUAUACACCACAAUUUAGUUUUACGCAUUUUUAGUAGAGAGCAGAAUCAAAAGUAUCACUAUAUAGAAAUCCCAAUAAUAAUGCAAUUAUAUAAAACUAAAAUCUGCCAUAUGAUAGCUGUUCAAUUAACCUUAUUCCAUUUCCUAGUAGUUUAAUGCUUUAACGCAUGAAAAUUUCAGCAACAUGUCAUAACUCAUAAGCUGUAAGCUCCUUGUGAUUCAACAAGCAACAUUCAUACUUCAUUUUCUGUUCCAACUUGUUAUUUUGUGUAAUCCCCUAGACCACAAAAGUUGCGAAACAGUCAUUUCAUCAGUCAAUCUGAUAGUGCCCGAAGAUGCACAGUAGUGAUUUUUGCUAAUCCGGCAUGCAAUUGAUUUUAUCCUUACAGUCUGGAUCGAAAUUAUAAUAUAUCCAGCACAUUUUUUUUGUAUCAAACAGAAUAUCCUUGAGAACUGAGAUAGAAUAAUCUUUUCCCCAACUUUCCAUGCCAAUAACAGAAAAUUUAACUACAACCCAUUAGCUAACUGUGAUGUGCCAAUUCAAAUUUAGAAAACUCCAACCAUGUUGACCCCUUAGGUAAAUUUUUACAAAUCUCUGUUUUGUUGUCUGUAUUAGUGAAUCUCCAGGAGCCAACUUAGCAUAAUGGAGUUAAAUAUCAGGGAAAGGCUAGCCAGCAGAAGGGGGGAGACAUAAAGGAAUUGUAAGGAAAAAGUAGGGAUUAUCCAUUCAUUUAAGAGUUUAUGUUAUUUUAAUUAGCGGAGGCUGACCCUCUCGAACACUCAAAUCUCUAUAUAAAUUCUCUUUUGAACUCCAAAUAAAAUACACUUCGUUUAGCUUGUCUUUAUUCAUACGGAGGCUGAACCACACCUCAAUCGGAGGGCAUUUUUAUUUCAAGGUAGAUCGGAACCAUCAAUGUUGGUCUGAGUUAUAUUUUCAUUCCUGUUCAAUAGUGCUUAAUCCUCCUAUUAUCAGUGGUUUGUAGCAGUAAUAUUACUUGAUUCUCAGCACCGUCUCCAUAGAUAAUACUACUUGGCAUUGCUUUUACUUAGUCACAAUCCUUUUAAUAGUAGAAUAAAUAGAAGUCAGAAUGGUAUAACAGAUAAUAUCCGGAGAAAGAGAUAUGAGCUUGUUUGUGAAAGCCUGAAUAUGCGUGCUGAAGGGUAUAUCAGGAAUGAAGUUUUCUGAUUUAUGCAUUAUAGAGGUAGUACAGAGGCUUCUUUUAUUAUUUUUAAAUGCUGAUUUUUUUUCUGUAUUAUGGGAAGCGUCAAAAUGCUAGCUUUCAAUUCAGAAUGACAACUUGUACAUAGACUGUCCUUAAUACAUAUCGAAGAGAUAGUAUUACAGUCACUAAUCCAUUGUCUAUUUCCUCUAAACAAACUGAUGGUACCCCUUAAGUUGCCAACAAUAUAGAUUUUUACUCAGCAAAACAUAUUACUAUAGCAGAUAACUUAAAGAAGUUAGGAGAUGAAAAAAAAUAACAAUGAACCGUAAAUUUCAGUACCUGUUGCAAAAACCAUUUGCAGAAAGCAAGAACGGUGGGGUCCAGGUCUACUAACAUGGAUGUGGUAGAUGCAUCCGCUGAGAAUUUGUGAGCUCGCAUGUUCUCAAUCAGUACAACUGCCCUUUUAUCCGAAAGACUUCCACGGAUGAUGGUAUUAUAAGUCACACCAUCAGGCAACCAAACACUCGUUUCCAUUUUAGAAAGUAGUUCCUUUGCUUCCUGAAAUAACCCUUCUUGACAAAGUCCUCUGAUCAUUAUGUUGUGUGUUAUGACAUCGGGUUGCAAACCUCUCGAAGCAAGCUUAUCAAAAAUAUUUCUGGCCUCAUCAAGUUUUCUGUUCUUGCAAAGACCAUCAAUGAGAAUAUUAUGUAUUUGAAUAUUAUGAACUAUACCUUUACAUUCCAUCAAUUGAAAGAAGGAAAUUGCUUCAUCCAUGUAUUGGUUGUUGCAAAGGCCGUCUAAAAGAAUUCCACAUGUUACGAUAUCUGGUUUAUUACCUUUUUUCAGCAUUUCAGGGAAAAGGUUCCGCGCCUCAUUAUGUCUACCCAUCUGAAACAAACCAUGUAUGAUGGUGUUGUAGGUUUGAACAUUGGGUUCUAAACCUGCAACAGGCAUCUGUCUGAGGAGCUUGAUGGCUUUGUCUACUUUCUGCGUCUUACAAUAGCCAUUUAUCAGAAUGUUAUAGCUAUAACAGUCUGGCCAUAUCUCAUUACUCCUCAUGGUAUUCAGCACCUCUAGUGCCCUGUCCAUUUUGCCUGUUAAACAAUAACCAUCCAUCAGUGCAUUGUAUGUGAUUGAAUCAGGAGGCACACCUUUCUGGAUCAUAAUUUCAAUCACAUCUUCUGCAUCUGUUGUCCUCCCUUCUUUGCAGUAUGCAUCCACUAAUAUAUUAUAGGUGUGCAAAUCUGCAGAGAUCUUCCUAACACCCAUCUCAGUUAACAAACUCUCAGUGUCCUCCCAUCGGCCGGAGCUGCAAAGACCUUGAAGUAGCGUGCUAUAGGUUAUAACAUUAGGUGAUAUGCCUUUGUCGAUCAUUUCAGACUCAAGAUCCAAUGCAUGAUCGACUCGUCUCUCUUUGCACAGAGAAUCGAUAAUGGAGUUAUAAGUUACCGCAUCGGGGUUACAACCUAUCUCCUCCAUCUUUCUUAACAACUUAAGAGCCAUGGAGGUAUUUGAAGUUUUGCAGAGACCAUCAAUGAUGGUGUUAUACAUAACUACAUCAGGCUGAAUUUCUUGAAAUCUGAUAAGCUUCUUAAACAAAUCCCCAGCCUCCAAAGGCCUGUCUUGAGAUAGAAGGCCCUUGAUGAGAGUGUUGUAGGUGACAACAUUGGGGACAUGACCACUCUUGAUGAUUCCAGCAAGCAAUGAAAAGGCAUAAUCAAGCGUAUUCAAGUGACAACAACAAUGGAUGGCAGUAGUAAAGGUAACAAUAUUAACAGGAAUGCUUAACACACGCAUUUCUCUAAACAUGGAGAUAGCUACAGAGUAUUCUUUCAUGCGAACAAGGGCGGUUAAGAGUUGGUUGAAAUCCACAACAGAAAGCCCAGAUUUCAGAAGGAGCAUUUUAUCGAACACAAGAAGAGCAUCGUCGAGUUUGUCGAAACCAACUUUAGAUUUAUGAUAGAGUAAUUGUUUUAGUUCGGGAUGAGUGGUUGAUGGAGAUGGAAUAAAGGGGGCUUUAAAUUGUGAAAUAGGGUUAGGUUUAGUAGAGAAAGGAAGAAAAUGAGAAUGAAAAAGAGAGGAUAAAAGAGAACAAGGGCUUACACUGAGAGGCUUUAAGCUGAAACAAGUCAUUGUGAGAAGAGCUCCUCUCUU
RNAcentral lists this long non-coding RNA (4721 nucleotides) under Daucus carota (carrot). Its description in RNAcentral is "long non-coding RNA (DCAR_LNC005973)". Lineage: Eukaryota; Viridiplantae; Streptophyta; Magnoliopsida; Apiales; Apiaceae. The record is from RNAcentral.